CCCAACCCACCACCCUGGCUGCUUUCCGACUACCUGCCUCUCAUCUGUUCCAGGAUCACUAAUUUGCAACAACAACUUCCAUUGUCGUCCACAUCUGGGACUCUGGGGUUUUAAGUGAAUCUCCCUAAGGCAGAGAACAGAAGAUGCUGCUAUUUUGGUUUGUCUCAUCUACAAUAGGACCAUUCUCUGGGGUUUCUGGGCAGUGCGGGGCUGCCCGGGUGAAGGGGAAAUCUGAGCAUUGACGGGACCCAGGCCAGAGCGCAGUGUGCUGAGGGAGGAGAGCAGACAGGGGUAAAAUACUGACCUUUUCUUCCCAGCUACUUGGGUUUGCAUUGCAUUUUAAUCAGUUUCAGAUGAAACUGACAAGCCAGCAGCCUCGGGAAUCCUGGUGCUCCUGUCAUUGCCCUCUGGUCUCCGGGGCAUCGGUUGGGCAGCAUCUGUCCUGGCCUGACCCAGCUUCCCCCAGAGGAGGCAGCAUGGAUGGUGGCCUUUCUGAUCCCCACAACUCAAUCGGAGCCUACUCUCUCGUCAGCACGGCCAGACAAGACAAGGCUUUAUCCCCCUGUUGGUUUUUGAGGGAUCAUGAAAAGGCUGAAGUCGGCUCUCAGGGAUCCGUCUCUGUGGGACCAUCUGCUCACCACUGCCCUCCACUGGACACCAGGCCAAAGCAGCCCGGCCCCGUCGGGGCGCUCUCAGGUUUCCUUCCCUCCCCAUGCUGGAUCCAGCUCCUGGGCAAACCGGUUUUUCUGUUGGCUUCUCUUUCACUCUAACUGUGCUGAACUGAAUUCAUGAGACCUAGGAAGGCACAGGAGAACUGGGACUUCUUUGAGUCCCGGCGUAUCGAGAGUUCCACAAAUGCUUAAUGUAUGAAAAUCAACAUAAUGACCUUUAGUUCCCGACAUGCCAGCAGCACUGGGGACUGUUAUGAUUGCAAAUGUAAGAACCCACUUAAGAACCUACUCCUACAACAGUCUACACACCCUAUGCUGCCAGCUUUUAGAAGACAACCGAGGGGAACAAAGGACAAAAGGCUUCUGGGAAAGAAUUAAAAAACAGCCGUUUCUAUCUUAACAA
Molecule: long non-coding RNA, 1074 nt
Filed under: Capra hircus (goat)
Lineage: Eukaryota; Metazoa; Chordata; Mammalia; Artiodactyla; Bovidae
Description: lncRNA (ENSCHIG00010029831.1)
Source: RNAcentral